UUUGGAGGGAAAAUUUCUAGUUCCCUCUUUUUUUUUGUCAACAUCUUUAUCUCUUUAUAAGAUGUAUUUCUCAUUUUUUACUCCACAUUCUCAUUUUUUAGUUCUCUAUAGCGUAGGUAUUUUCAUUCAAGAACGAUCCAAUCUAAUGAUUCUUUUUAUGUGUUCUUUUUUUUUUGUGGGUUUCUUAAUCUAAUAUAUUUGCAAUUCUUGAUUUCAUGUUGAUUCAUUCCAAAGUUCUAUUGGUCAUUUGUCAAAGAUUGCUGAUAUACUUAUUCACGACGGAGAUAAUGGCUUCUCGAACAAGAAUUGGCAAGAAAAAUAGAGUUUUUACUACAUCUUAUGAGCCACCUUCAGAUGUUUUCUCAUCAAAGGCAUCAUGCAAGGGUCUAUUAACCCAUACUACUCUUCAAGCUAAUAUCUCUUCCUCAUUGUCAAAGACUAGUAAUGUUCAAGUUCCUACUCCAUUACCUCAAUCUCUACGGGUUCCCACCCCAUUAUCUCAGCCCCAGCUUCAACUUAAUUCAUCACAAGCAACCACAUUGACACAUGAGACGAUCCUCAAUUCCAACGAUUCUCAUUCUCUGAAGAGGAAGGGACGUGGUCCUACAAGAGGUAAGGGCACUGAUGACAAUGUUAGUGCAGCUGGAAAAAUAUAGUUGGAGAUUUCUAAAAAACUGGGAAGAGCUAUUGGAAAUCAGCAAGCAUGUUUGGCUAGUGAAUGUGGCUACGUUGUUCGAUCCUUUGCUCCAAUUUGUUGCAAAAGGUGGAUCGACAUACCCUAUGAAGAGAAAAAUAAAUUGUAUGAUCGAGUUUUGGCAAAAUUCAAGCUUGAUUUGACAGUUGAGCACGUCCAUAAAUGUGUGAACGAUACUUUAGCGAGAAGAUAUCGUGAUUAUAGAUGUAGACUUAAAGAGAAAUAUUUUAAUGGAAAAACAUUAGAUGAUGUAAUGAAGAACUGCCCAACUGACAUAAAGCAAGUUGAUUGGGACUGGUUGUGUCAAUAUUGGUCUACCCCUAAAUUUCAGGCAUUAUCUACACGUAAUUUAGCAAGCCACAACUGCAUUAAAUAUAAUCAUUGUAGUGAAUCAAAAUCAUUUGUUGCACGUCUUCAAGAAAAGAGAUCAAUUACUAAAGACAAUGCACAAGGAGAAAUAUAACUUUAUUAUGAGACUCAUUACAGUCAGAAGAAAGGGUGGGUAAACGAUGAAGCACAAAUAAAAUAUGAGAAGAUGCUUCAAAUUAAAGAGCAACCAAUUUCAGAGGGAUCUGAGGCCCCCACUGAACUUGAGAUUAUGCAAGAAGUUUUAGGAAAAUCCAGAGGUUACAUUAGAGGACUUGGACAUGGUCCAAAACCUGCCUCAAGCCACUCUACUCAUUUGACAUCGGUUGAUACUGAAUCAAUAGGCCUUCGAGAGCAAAUACAAAAGCAGGAGCAAGAAUUAUUGGAUAUGCGUGCCAAGAUUUCUCAUUUUGAGGCGCUAAUGCAUCAGUUCGUAUCGAAUUAAGUCGGCAUGUCUCCACAACAAGCUGAACCAACAACAAUGUUUAGCAUGCCACCGCCUACUGAUAAUAUAUGAAUUAUGAUUUAUUUAUUUAUUUGCUUUAAUUGUUGAGACAUUUAUUUUCUUUUAUGGAUUGGUUC
This is a long non-coding RNA of Olea europaea var. sylvestris, 1642 nucleotides long. RefSeq lists it as uncharacterized. The transcript has 7 exons. Lineage: Eukaryota; Viridiplantae; Streptophyta; Magnoliopsida; Lamiales; Oleaceae. The record is from RefSeq and is a predicted model, not a curated record.